CCUGCUGCCACCCUCAACUGAAUUUUCAACUCAGCCGUCCACCAGUGACUUCAAUCAUCACUUUUCUGCAUGUGUAAGCUGUACAAACUCUGCCAUCAUAUCCAAGACAUUGCAUUGUGAGGACUGGUGCCCUGGGAACACUGAGCGCAUUCUCGAAAAUUCCAAAUUUGUGCCACUUCCAUACGAAGACAGCCCAGAAUAAUUGGGCUCCAUCAACCAUCCCGG
Sardina pilchardus (European sardine) is the source of this 225-nucleotide long non-coding RNA. RefSeq lists it as uncharacterized. The transcript is spliced from 3 exons. The record is from RefSeq and is a predicted model, not a curated record. Lineage: Eukaryota; Metazoa; Chordata; Actinopteri; Clupeiformes; Clupeidae.